GUUCCCGUAUCUAUAUUUGUCUAUGACAUCUAUGUUGUCGCGGGAUAGUAAUCGUUAAAACGCGGGCGUGUAACGCUCGUUACACAGAAUCGGGGAAAAUGCAUGAAAAUGCCGCUGCUGGGAGCAACAGGUUAGAAUGUAGUCACGACGGGCGGCGCAAUGAAGUUGGUUGAUAGUGACUGCGACUUUUCGAUUUCGUCACCCGCGCUUGAGAUUCGUCCGUUACAUUAAUCUACGCCCUAAGCACGGUCGCGUCGUCAUCGCCGAGCGGAUCGUGGCUCUUCGUGCAACGUAAUUUCGGCGUCGCGUCGUUUUCUCGCCGCGGUAUAAUAAAACCCGUGUCGCGUACGAUUAAUAUCGGGAGUGCCGCGCGAUCGUGGCAUUGUGAUGAUUAGUAUAUACGCGCGAUCGCAGUUAAAUAUACCUUCGCGAGUGAAUAUUGUGUGAGUGCUCCAUGAAGGAGCAGUAAUGGCGGGACAGAGGUCUGAGGGGAGGAGGAGGCCUGGGAGGCGUCGGGCGACGGCGGAGCAACCGUGAGGAUGGUACGACAGGAUGGUCCUUCACGGAAUGAGAGAGGUUUCAUGACUUUUGCGUUCGAAUAAGGCUAAGAUUUACGUACACACAACUCCGCCGCUGCGCAUCGUAU
This is a long non-coding RNA of Temnothorax curvispinosus, 646 nucleotides long. RefSeq lists it as uncharacterized. The record is from RefSeq and is a predicted model, not a curated record. Lineage: Eukaryota; Metazoa; Arthropoda; Insecta; Hymenoptera; Formicidae. The transcript has 3 exons.